CGCUGGGCCAACCCAAUUUGAAAAAACAUGCCUACACGCACCCGUACAAAAGGGACAAAACUCUACCAUACACCUCCUCCUAAACGCCAACUCACCAGAAGACACCCUCUCAUACACGAAGGCGUGGGAAAGAGACAUAGGCCCCCCAGAGGACCCAUCAGAUUGGUUGGACAUAUGGGAGGCUACACCCUCACUCACCAUAUGUGUGAAUCACA
This is a non-coding RNA of Pelobates cultripes (western spadefoot toad), 215 nucleotides long. NCBI's taxonomy places the organism in Eukaryota, Metazoa, Chordata, Amphibia, Anura, Pelobatidae. The record is from the annotation of a GenBank genome assembly.